Molecule: long non-coding RNA, 130 nt
Organism: Xiphophorus hellerii (green swordtail)
Lineage: Eukaryota; Metazoa; Chordata; Actinopteri; Cyprinodontiformes; Poeciliidae
Exons: 2
Source: RefSeq, a predicted model, not a curated record
UACUACCAAGAGACAGGGUCAAGAUGAUUGUGUUAUUGGUGACAUUGCUUCUUCUUCAUCGGGGCUACACUGCUGUACCAUUGAUGCCGGUUCAGGCCGGAGAAUCUGUGACCUUCCAAUGUGCUCUGCC